Molecule: microRNA precursor, 83 nt
Filed under: Cercocebus atys (sooty mangabey)
Lineage: Eukaryota; Metazoa; Chordata; Mammalia; Primates; Cercopithecidae
Also listed under: 11 other names
Description: mir-1270 microRNA precursor family
Rfam family: mir-1270 microRNA precursor family
Source: Rfam by way of RNAcentral
CACAAUGUUAUACUGGAGAGCAGGAAGAGCUGUGUUGGGUAUAAGUAAUAGACUUUUCCUUUUCUUCCAUGUGGCUCUUUGCA